AACAUAACGUGUAAGGUAAUUUAUUUUAAAAGUCAUUACUUUAUUACAUUGAGUUGCAAGCUACCCCUUGGUCGUUAGGGCAAAUCUGGUCUGUGAUAGGAGUUUUUUUUUCUCACACCUAGCUCAGAUAUUAGACUAUUCUUUAGUAAACAUUGACUAGUCUUGUUCAGCUAUUAGCCCAACUUGCAACAAAUUGCUGUUCCCAUCUCAUUUCUUUCCCUCUUCCACGUGUCAUCAUUCAUCAUUGUCAGUGGCUCGCUUGUGGGCGUGCAGGCAGGAUAUGGCAGCAGCUUCGGUUGUGCGUCAAGAAUUCUGCAUACAGUAGCGCGUUUGUAGGAAUGUGUGGUUAUUCACAGGCAAAUUGUUAUGUGCUAUGGAGGUACAUUUGUGUCUUUUUGUCGAGAGCAAAACCUUUUUUAUUUUCAAUCAAAAAUAAUUGUUCUGAAAGCAACUUUUUUCCGACACAAAGGAAGUCAAAGCGGACACCUACGAAGAUGGCAUCUCAGAGUGAGCUGACCAAGGGGUCGAAAAUAUAGAUAUUGCCAGAUGUUCACUGUCUGAGGAACAGGCCGUGUAAGCUGUAUUGCUGGCAAAAGUGUCCAUAACCAGAGCAUAAAGUACUCUCUAGCCACUUAGUGUGGACACCAGGUGAGACCACACACACAAUAACAGUCUCUCUUCUUCACUUCAUCCCUCUCUCCAUUCUCCCUAAACCCCUCCCGCAUCUGAACUGGCUGACACAGAGGGCAGGGCAUGAUCAUAGGUGAGAUGUCACUUGGUCGGGUCAACAGGAAGUAUUAUUAAAAAGAUGCUUUACAUUGAAAUACAGACAGAGAUGAAGUAGUCCCAGAGUUAAUGAUCCAAGGUAUGUUAUGAUGUGAGAGAGGAAGCCAGUCCCGUCAUCGCCACCUCACCCGCUCUUAAUAUACCUUUUGGGCCAACUGGGGGCCAAAGGCUGGUUAGGAAACACCGCAAUUGUGAUGAACUGAGAGGAUAUUAGGGUAGCACUGAAAUUCAUGAGUCAUAUGCUGUCUGCCGCUGUUCUUACCUCUUUCUCUUUCUGUCUUCUACACCUCUCACCUCAUCUUUCUUCCUCGUUUUAUAAUGCACACCAUAUGUGCAUUGAAGUACAGAUUGAACUUGUAUUUAUAAUAUAGUAUUACAAUUAUCAUAAUUAUAAUGCAUUUAUGUAUUUAUAACACCUGGAUAAUGAACUUUUUUCAAUAAAGC
Molecule: long non-coding RNA, 1230 nt
Filed under: Salmo salar (Atlantic salmon)
Lineage: Eukaryota; Metazoa; Chordata; Actinopteri; Salmoniformes; Salmonidae
Description: lncRNA (ENSSSAG00000083686.1)
Source: RNAcentral